RNAcentral lists this ribosomal RNA (468 nucleotides) under uncultured bacterium. RNAcentral describes it as "partial 16S ribosomal RNA". It matches the Rfam family "Bacterial small subunit ribosomal RNA", at positions 28 to 507 of the family's 1533-position model. The record is from RNAcentral.
GACGAACGCUGGCGGCGUGCUUAACACAUGCAAGUCGAACGGAAAGGCCCUGCUUUUGUGGGGUGCUCGAGUGGCGAACGGGUGAGUAACACGUGAGUAACCUGCCCUUGACUUUGGGAUAACUUCAGGAAACUGGGGCUAAUACCGGAUAGGAGCUCCUGCUGCAUGGUGGGGGUUGGAAAGUUUCGGCGGUUGGGGAUGGACUCGCGGCUUAUCAGCUUGUUGGUGGGGUAGUGGCUUACCAAGGCUUUGACGGGUAGCCGGCCUGAGAGGGUGACCGGCCACAUGGGGACUGAGGUACGGCCCAGACUCCUACGGGAGGCAGCAGUGGGGAAUAUUGCACAAUGGGCGGAAGCCUGAUGCAGCAGCGCCGCGUGCGGGAUGACGGCCUUCGGGUUGUAAACCGCUUUCGCCUGUGACGAAGCGUGAGUGACGGUAAUGGGUAAAGAAGCACCGGCUAACUACGUG